AGAGUUUGAUCCUGGCUCAGGAUGAACGCUAGCUACAGGCUUAACACAUGCAAGUCGAGGGGCAGCAUGGUCUUAGCUUGCUAAGGCCGAUGGCGACCGGCGCACGGGUGAGUAACACGUAUCCAACCUGCCGUCUACUCUUGGACAGCCUUCUGAAAGGAAGAUUAAUACAAGAUGGCAUCAUGAGUCCGCAUGUUCACAUGAUUAAAGGUAUUCCGGUAGACGAUGGGGAUGCGUUCCAUUAGAUAGUAGGCGGGGUAACGGCCCACCUAGUCUUCGAUGGAUAGGGGUUCUGAGAGGAAGGUCCCCCACAUUGGAACUGAGACACGGUCCAAACUCCUACGGGAGGCAGCAGUGAGGAAUAUUGGUCAAUGGGCGAGAGCCUGAACCAGCCAAGUAGCGUGAAGGAUGACUGCCCUAUGGGUUGUAAACUUCUUUUAUAAAGGAAUAAAGUCGGGUAUGGAUACCCGUUUGCAUGUACUUUAUGAAUAAGGAUCGGCUAACUCCGUGCCAGCAGCCGCGGUAAUACGGAGGAUCCGAGCGUUAUCCGGAUUUAUUGGGUUUAAAGGGAGCGUAGAUGGAUGUUUAAGUCAGUUGUGAAAGUUUGCGGCUCAACCGUAAAAUUGCAGUUGAUACUGGAUAUCUUGAGUGCAGUUGAGGCGGGCGGAAUUCGUGGUGUAGCGGUGAAAUGCUUAGAUAUCACGAAGAACUCCGAUUGCGAAGGCAGCCUGCUAAGCUGCAACUGACAUUGAGGCUCGAAAGCGUGGGUAUCAAACAGGAUUAGAUACCCUGGUAGUCCACACGGUAAACGAUGAAUACUCGCUGUUUGCGAUAUACUGCAAGCGGCCAAGCGAAAGCGUUAAGUAUUCCACCUGGGGAGUACGCCGGCAACGGUGAAACUCAAAGGAAUUGACGGGGGCCCGCACAAGCGGAGGAACAUGUGGUUUAAUUCGAUGAUACGCGAGGAACCUUACCCGGGCUUAAAUUGCAGAUGAAUUACGGUGAAAGCCGUAAGCCGCAAGGCAUCUAUGAAGGUGCUGCAUGGUUGUCGUCAGCUCGUGCCGUGAGGUGUCGGCUUAAGUGCCAUAACGAGCGCAACCCUUGUUGUCAGUUACUAACAGGUUCUGCUGAGGACUCUGACAAGACUGCCAUCGUAAGAUGUGAGGAAGGUGGGGAUGACGUCAAAUCAGCACGGCCCUUACGUCCGGGGCUACACACGUGUUACAAUGGGGGGUACAGAGGGCCGCUACCACGCGAGUGGAUGCCAAUCCCAAAAACCUCUCUCAGUUCGGACUGGAGUCUGCAACCCGACUCCACGAAGCUGGAUUCGCUAGUAAUCGCGCAUCAGCCACGGCGCGGUGAAUACGUUCCCGGGCCUUGUACACACCGCCCGUCAAGCCAUGGGAGCCGGGGGUACCUGAAGUGCGUAACCGCGAGGAGCGCCCUAGGGUAAAACUGGUGACUGGGGCUAAGUCGUAACAAGGUAGCC
Molecule: ribosomal RNA, 1489 nt
Filed under: uncultured bacterium
Lineage: Bacteria
Description: bacterial SSU rRNA
Rfam family: Bacterial small subunit ribosomal RNA
Source: RNAcentral